RNAcentral lists this long non-coding RNA (456 nucleotides) under Salmo salar (Atlantic salmon). RNAcentral describes it as "lncRNA (ENSSSAG00000108944.1)". The record is from RNAcentral. Lineage: Eukaryota; Metazoa; Chordata; Actinopteri; Salmoniformes; Salmonidae.
GUGUGAUGUUGCUGUACUAGUAAAGAGAGAGAGAGUGGAGAGAGAGAGAGUGGAGAGAGAGGGGGGGUAAAGGAGAUGUUGUCAGAGUGUGAUGUUGCUAUACUAGUAAAGAGAGAGAGUGGAGAGAGAGAGAGUGGAGAGAGAGAGGGGGGGUAAAGGAGAUGUUGUCAGAGUGUGAUGUUGCUAUACUAGUAAAGAGAGAGAGAGUGGAGAGAGAGAGGGGGGUAAAGGAGAUGUUGUCAGAGUGUGAUGUUGCUGUACUAGUAAAAAGAGAGAGAGUGGAGAGAGAGAGUGGAGAGAGAGGGGGGGUAAAGGAGAUGUUGUCAGAGUGUGAUGUUGCUAUACUAGUAAAGAGAGAGAGGGGGUGGAGAGAGAGAGUGGAGAGAGAGGGGGGGUAAAGGAGAUGUUGUAAGAGUGUGAUGUUGCUAUACUAGUAAAGGGGAGAGAGAGAGAGUG